This 484-nucleotide ribosomal RNA is filed under the name uncultured bacterium. Its description in RNAcentral is "partial 16S ribosomal RNA". It matches the Rfam family "Bacterial small subunit ribosomal RNA", at positions 30 to 507 of the family's 1533-position model. The record is from RNAcentral.
AUUGAACGCUGGCGGCAGGCCUAACACAUGCAAGUCGAGCGGAUGAAGGGAGCUUGCUCCUGGAUUCAGCGGCGGACGGGUGAGUAAUGCCUAGGAAUCUGCCUGGUAGUGGGGGAUAACGUCCGGAAACGGGCGCUAAUACCGCAUACGUCCUGAGGGAGAAAGUGGGGGAUCUUCGGACCUCACGCUAUCAGAUGAGCCUAGGUCGGAUUAGCUAGUUGGUGGGGUAAAGGCCUACCAAGGCGACGAUCCGUAACUGGUCUGAGAGGAUGAUCAGUCACACUGGAACUUAGACACGGUCCAGACUCCUACGGGAGGCAGCAGUGGGGAAUAUUGGACCAUGGGCGAAAGCCUGAUCCAGCCAUGCCGCGUGUGUUAAGAAGGGCUUCCGAUUGUAAAGCACUUUAAGUUGGGAGGAAGGGCAGUAAGUUAAUACCUUGCUGUUUUGACGUUACCAACAGAAUAAGCACCGGCUAACUUCGUG